UACGUAGGGUGCAAGCGUUAAUCGGAAUUACUGGGCGUAAAGCGUGCGCAGGCGGUGAUGUAAGACAGGUGUGAAAUCCCCGGGCUCAACCUGGGAACUGCAUCUGUGACUGCAUCGCUGGAGUGCGGCAGAGGGGGAUGGAAUUCCGCGUGUAGCAGUGAAAUGCGUAGAUAUGCGGAGGAACACCGAUGGCGAAGGCAAUCCCCUGGGCCUGCACUGACGCUCAUGCACGAAAGCGUGGGGAGCAAACAGG
RNAcentral lists this ribosomal RNA (253 nucleotides) under uncultured bacterium. RNAcentral describes it as "partial 16S ribosomal RNA". It matches the Rfam family "Bacterial small subunit ribosomal RNA", at positions 524 to 776 of the family's 1533-position model. The record is from RNAcentral.